UGGGGAAUAUUGCACAAUGGGCGGAAGCCUGAUGCAGCGACGCCGCGUGGGGGAUGACGGCCUUCGGGUUGUAAACCUCUUUCAGCUCCGACGAAGCGGGAGUGACGGUAGGAGCAGAAGAAGCGCCGGCCAACUACGUGCCAGCAGCCGCGGUAAUACGUAGGGUGCGAGCGUUGUCCGGAAUUAUUGGGCGUAAAGAGCUCGUAGGCGGCCUGUCGCGUCGGAUGUGAAAGCCCGGGGCUUAACCCCGGGUCUGCAUUCGAUACGGGCAGGCUAGAGUGUGGUAGGGGAGAUCGGAAUUCCUGGUGUAGCGGUGAAAUGCGCAGAUAUCAGGAGGAACACCGGUGGCGAAGGCGGAUCUCUGGGCCAUUACUGACGCUGAGGAGCGAAAGCGUGGGGAGCAAAC
Molecule: ribosomal RNA, 406 nt
Filed under: uncultured bacterium
Lineage: Bacteria
Description: bacterial SSU rRNA
Rfam family: Bacterial small subunit ribosomal RNA
Source: RNAcentral